This 406-nucleotide ribosomal RNA is filed under the name uncultured bacterium. RNAcentral describes it as "partial 16S ribosomal RNA". It matches the Rfam family "Bacterial small subunit ribosomal RNA", at positions 30 to 526 of the family's 1533-position model. The record is from RNAcentral.
AUUGAACGCUGGCGGCAGGCCUAACACAUGCAAGUCGAACGCGUGGCGGACGGGUGAGUAAUGUCUGGGAAACUGCCUGAUGGAGGGGGAUAAAUACUGGAAAUGGUAUCUAAUACCGCAUACCCACGUAUGUGCCCAGAUGGGAUUAGCUUCUAGGUGAGGUAACGGCUCACCUAGGCGACUAUCCCUAGCUGGUCUGAGAGGAUGACCGGCCACACGGGAACUGAGACAAGGUCCAGACUCCUACGGGAGGCAGCAGUGGGGAAUAUUGCACAAUGGGCGCAAGCCUGAUGCAGCCAUGCCGCGUGUAUGAAGAAGGCCUUCGGGUUGUAAAGUACUUUCAGCGGGGAGGCGUUACCCGCAGAAGAAGCACCGGCUAACUCCGUGCCAGCAGCCGCGGUAAUAC